This is a long non-coding RNA of Etheostoma spectabile (orangethroat darter), 539 nucleotides long. RefSeq lists it as uncharacterized. Lineage: Eukaryota; Metazoa; Chordata; Actinopteri; Perciformes; Percidae. The transcript is spliced from 3 exons. The record is from RefSeq and is a predicted model, not a curated record.
CAAAAUAUUUAACAUAAAAGGUCCAAUGUGUGGGAAUUUAUGCCAUCUAGCUUUGAGAUCAUAUAUCAUAAUCAACUCUCUCGCGCCACGCAGUUCAAAUUACAUGUUACAGCUACGGAGGCCUUCACACUUCAAAAAGCUCUUUUCAAUAUCCUUUUCCUUUUUCUGAGCAAAAUAGAAGACCAUUCCUGAAAUUGGGAUUUUGAAUGUGUGUGGUCCUCAAUGUUUACUUCUCUAAACUUGCCGGGGCCAAGAAGCAACAAUACCAAUUAGCAGCAUUAGCAGCACCUGUGAGUUUAUAAUGUGACAGCAAAAAUGUGAAAGGCUGAGCAGUAUAUCCUGUAUGUCCUUUACGUGCUGACGUAUUUCAAGAUGCCGCAUGAAUAUAAAGCGUUUACCCCAGUUCAUGCGAAUAGAAAUGUAAAAUUUCUAGCCAAUAGGAAUACUUGGAAAUGAUGGUGGUAGUAAAUAUUCAUGAAAAAGGACAAGUUGGGAAUGGGCAACACAGAUUUUGAUAAUAAACAACUAAAAACGUUACA